UCGCCGCCCGUGACUCGGCGAGAAGUCCAUUGAACCUUAUCAUUUAGAGGAAGGAGAAGUCGURACAAGGUUUCCGUAGGUGAACCUGCGGAAGGAUCAUUG
Molecule: ribosomal RNA, 102 nt
Filed under: Cyrtochilum gargantua
Lineage: Eukaryota; Viridiplantae; Streptophyta; Magnoliopsida; Asparagales; Orchidaceae
Description: partial 18S ribosomal RNA
Rfam family: Eukaryotic small subunit ribosomal RNA
Source: RNAcentral